GGGGGUGUAGCUCAGUGGUAGAGUGUUCGCUUCGCAUGUGAAAAGUCCCGGGUUCGAACCCCGGCACCUCCA
This 72-nucleotide transfer RNA is filed under the name Centruroides sculpturatus (bark scorpion). RNAcentral's name for it is "tRNA-Ala". It matches the Rfam family "tRNA". Rfam says of the family: Transfer RNA (tRNA) molecules are approximately 80 nucleotides in length. The record is from RNAcentral. Lineage: Eukaryota; Metazoa; Arthropoda; Arachnida; Scorpiones; Buthidae.